Non-coding RNA from Drosophila melanogaster (fruit fly), 289 nucleotides. Lineage: Eukaryota; Metazoa; Arthropoda; Insecta; Diptera; Drosophilidae. The record is from Ensembl.
GCUUUGAUGGGGUAAUUUCUCUCACUACACUGUACGGAAGGCAGCGAAAAGCGUUCUUAGGAUGAACCAAUUGCGGCCAAAAAUGACGGCUCCUUGAUUGCAGGCAUCUUGCAGAAGUUGGGGAGAAAAAGUGUGUCAAUGUGAUGGAGUCCUAGGGGAAGGUAAGUAGUCCUCAAUUUAUAGGUCGAUCCGCUGGAGAACAACCUUUUACGAAAAGACAGUCUUUCGAAGCCUACGCCUGUAAAAAGCAAAGACUUAGACAUGCAAACAUUAACAAUAAAAUGUUUCG